CAACUACUCCCUCUUUCCCAAAUUUCUUGUCUUAGAUUUGUCUAGAUACGGAUGUAUUAGAUACGGAUGUAUCUAAUACUAAAAUGUGACUUGAUACAUCCGUAUCUAGACAAAUCUAAGGCAAUAAUUUUGGGACGGAGGGAGUACUUU
Non-coding RNA from Triticum aestivum (bread wheat), 150 nucleotides. NCBI's taxonomy places the organism in Eukaryota, Viridiplantae, Streptophyta, Magnoliopsida, Poales, Poaceae. The record is from Rfam.